This 571-nucleotide ribosomal RNA is filed under the name Sclerasterias mollis. Its description in RNAcentral is "partial 16S ribosomal RNA". It matches the Rfam family "Bacterial large subunit ribosomal RNA", at positions 1816 to 2597 of the family's 2925-position model. Lineage: Eukaryota; Metazoa; Echinodermata; Asteroidea; Forcipulatida; Asteriidae. The record is from RNAcentral.
CGCCCCCUGCAAAGACUUUGAAGAAUAGGGGGUUCUGCCUGCCCAGUGACGUAGUUAAACGGCCGCGGUAUUUUGACCGUGCAAAGGUAGCAUAAUCAUUUGCCCCUUAAAUAGGGGCUGGUAUGAAUGGCAAGACGGAGGUUAAGCUGUCUCUUUCUUAUGAAGCUUUAAUUUCAUAUUUUCGUGAAGAAGCGAAAAUAAAUUCGUAGGACGAGAAGACCCUAUCGAGCUUCAGUGAUAUUACUAGUAACGUGACAGUAUAGAUUAUCUAAUCUAGCUACAAAUGGCUUGUAACAUUUAAUUAUCUGUGCUUAGUUAUCUAGUAAAAUAACUUUGGUUGGGGCAAUCGCGGAGUAAAAGCACCCUCCGUUAUUAGUGAGAAAAAUUACUAUUUUGUGUAAUAAGUGAUCCGCUUUAUAGCGAGCAAAGGAAUAAGUUACCGUAGGGAUAACAGCGUAAUUUUUUUGGAGAGUUCAUAUUGAUAAAAAAGUUUGCGACCUCGAUGUUGGAUCGAGAUUUCCUGGAGAUGCAGCAGUUUCCAAGGGUUGGUCUGUUCGACCAUUAAAAUCUU